RNAcentral lists this ribosomal RNA (643 nucleotides) under Salmonella enterica subsp. enterica serovar Alachua. RNAcentral's name for it is "bacterial SSU rRNA". It matches the Rfam family "Bacterial small subunit ribosomal RNA", at positions 1 to 635 of the family's 1533-position model. Lineage: Bacteria; Pseudomonadati; Pseudomonadota; Gammaproteobacteria; Enterobacterales; Enterobacteriaceae. The record is from RNAcentral.
AAAUUGAAGAGUUUGAUCAUGGCUCAGAUUGAACGCUGGCGGCAGGCCUAACACAUGCAAGUCGAACGGUAGCACAGAGAGCUUGCUCUCGGGUGACGAGUGGCGGACGGGUGAGUAAUGUCUGGGAAACUGCCCGAUGGAGGGGGAUAACUACUGGAAACGGUAGCUAAUACCGCAUAAUGUCGCAAGACCAAAGUGGGGGACCUUCGGGCCUCACACCAUCGGAUGUGCCCAGAUGGGAUUAGCUUGUUGGUGGGGUAACGGCUCACCAAGGCGACGAUCCCUAGCUGGUCUGAGAGGAUGACCAGCCACACUGGAACUGAGACACGGUCCAGACUCCUACGGGAGGCAGCAGUGGGGAAUAUUGCACAAUGGGCGCAAGCCUGAUGCAGCCAUGCCGCGUGUAUGAAGAAGGCCUUCGGGUUGUAAAGUACUUUCAGCGGGGAGGAAGGCGUUGUGGUUAAUAACCGCAGCGAUUGACGUUACCCGCAGAAGAAGCACCGGCUAACUCCGUGCCAGCAGCCGCGGUAAUACGGAGGGUGCAAGCGUUAAUCGGAAUUACUGGGCGUAAAGCGCACGCAGGCGGUUUGUUAAGUCAGAUGUGAAAUCCCCGGGCUCAACCUGGGAACUGCAUUUGAAACUG